This is a non-coding RNA of Aegilops tauschii subsp. strangulata, 1386 nucleotides long. The record is from RefSeq and is a predicted model, not a curated record. NCBI's taxonomy places the organism in Eukaryota, Viridiplantae, Streptophyta, Magnoliopsida, Poales, Poaceae.
AUGGCGGUAGCGCAGCGCCCCUCAGCCGUGGAGCCGCCGCCCGUCGAGGUGGUCGCCGCGGUGGAGCAGGUGGACGGCGCAGCUCGCCUCGGGCGGCGGUGGUUCACAGCAGUGGAGCAGCUCGCCUCGGGCGGCGCAGUCCCGAGGCGGAGGCGCGGCGUGAAGCGCAGAUCGAGGCGGAGGAGAGAGAACGUCGGGAAGGGAGGCGGAUUAAAGUUGCGGCACGGAGCGGAGCGGCCAUUCCCUCCCCUCUCGACGAAAACCACCUCCCUUCUCUCUCACGAGCGAGCUCUCCGAAGGCGGGGUCAUGGAUUCCUGGAAGCAGAGACUCGAGAGGAGGGCUCUGGUGAUAGCCAACGGCGACGAAGAGAAGCUGGCGAAGCUGAGGGAGAUCAUCUCCAGGUUCUCGACGGAGAGCAAUCUGAAGGAGGCGGCGGGGUGUGCCUACCGGAGGCUCACCGAGGCGGAGGACUGGCGCCUCACUCCGUCAGGCGAGCCGGUGGGGGCGCUCCGGAUGCUGUUGUGGGCGAUGAAGGAGGCGGAAUCAGACGAUCAGAUGCAGGCCAUGAAGUGGAUCGCGUUUCGUUCGCGUCGCACCGUCCCUGCGGAUCCACCUGGAUUUGUGGUCGGCGCGGUGAUGGGUCUCCCCGCCCCAGCUCCGGUUGUGCCCAGGGCUGCAGUGGUGGAGAGGCGGCCAGAUUUGGGGCGCGCCGAGGGCAGGAGGGGGAUGAAGCUUGGGACGAAGAAGAUCCAGAAGAUGCCGUUGGUUCUGAGGAGGUCACCGCGCUUCCCUCGCCGUUUCCCACGCCUGCUCGGUCUCGCUCGCUCCCAGGGACGGGAGUAGGGGCCUCGCCGGUGGGCGGCCGCUUCUGGCUGCUCGCCGGUGAGGUUUCCGACGAGGAGACUUGGGCUCCCGUUGGAUCUGCAAGAAAAAGGGCCCAGGGGAAAGAACGCUGACGUUGGGGGCAAGACUCAUCGAGCAGGUGGCAAGUGAGAUCUUCAAAGCUUCGCAAGGAUGGCGCUUCGGGGUUCCGCGGCUGAAGGACUAGGGAAGCUGCGACAUUUCAAGAGCUUGCUGCUGCUUUUGCUUUAGACUUGUCUUCUCCUCCGUUUAGCCUUUUGUGAUGGAAACUUGUAAUGAUCUGACUAUCCGGGGGGUGGGGGCUGUGUCCGUGGCCACUCCUUGCGCGGGUUUCGCUUUUACUCUCUGUUCCGCUUCUUAUUGUAAGACUUCUAGACUGCUCGUGGCUUCGGCCUGGUUUCUAUAAUGGAAAUCGGAGGGGAAACCCUCUUUUGCUCAAAAAAAACAUGUUAAGGAAAAAGUUAGAGGAGGAACUUUCAAAGAUUAAUAAAGAGGAGGAGAUAAUGUGGUUACAGAGAUCGAAA